AACGAACGUUAGCGGCGCGCCUAACACAUGCAAGUCGCACGAGAAAGGGCUUCGGCCCCGGUAAAGUGGCGCACGGGUGAGUAACACGUAGGUAAUCUCCCCUCGAGUGGUGGAUAACCCUCCGAAAGGAGAGCUAAUACAGCAUGAGACCACGAGCUCUUCGGAGCUUGCGGCCAAAGCAGGCCUCUACAUGUAAGCUCGCGCUGGAGGAUGAGCCUGCGGCCCAUCAGGUAGUUGGCGGGGUAAUGGCCCACCAAGCCAAAGACGGGUAGCUGGUCUGAGAGGAUGAACAGCCACACUGGAACUGACACACGGUCCAGACUCCUACGGGAGGCAGCAGUGGGGAAUCUUGCGCAAUGGGCGAAAGCCUGACGCAGCGACGCCGCGUGAGCGAUGAAGGCCUUCGGGUUGUAAAGCUCUGUGGGGAGGGAAGAAUAAGGGUUGGCUAAUAUCCAGCUCGAUGACGGUACCUCCUUAGCAAGCACCGGCUAACUCUGUGCCAGCAGCCGCGGUAAUACAGAGGGUGCAAACGUUGUUCGGAAUUACUGGGCGUAAAGCGCGUGCAGGCGGCCUUGCAAGUCGGACGUGAAAUCCCACGGCUCAACCGUGGAAGUGCAUUCGAAACUGCGAGGCUGGAGUCCUGGAGAGGAAAGUGGAAUACUCGGUGUAGAGGUGAAAUUCGUAGAUAUCGAGUGGAACACCGGUGGCGAAGGCGGCUUUCUGGACAGGUACUGACGCUGAGACGCGAAAGCGUGGGGAGCAAACAGGAUUAGAUACCCUGGUAGUCCACGCCGUAAACGAUGAGUGCUAGGUGUCACGGGCUUUGACCCUCGUGGUGCCGAAGCUAACGCGUUAAGCACUCCGCCUGGGGAGUACGGCCGCAAGGCUA
RNAcentral lists this ribosomal RNA (889 nucleotides) under uncultured bacterium. RNAcentral describes it as "bacterial SSU rRNA". It matches the Rfam family "Bacterial small subunit ribosomal RNA", at positions 28 to 896 of the family's 1533-position model. The record is from RNAcentral.